RNAcentral lists this long non-coding RNA (674 nucleotides) under Mytilus galloprovincialis (Mediterranean mussel). The record is from RNAcentral. Lineage: Eukaryota; Metazoa; Mollusca; Bivalvia; Mytilida; Mytilidae.
CCCCCCUCUCCCCAUAACUUUUUUUUGUUCAAUUUGAUUAGAAACCUAACUAUGGCAAUAUAUGAGUUUUGAAAUUAAAGAUUAUAACAGAAACAAGAUUUGAUUAAUAAUAAGUAUCAUGAUUUAUAUGGUCCACAAAAGCUGCCUUUUUGUAAAACAAACUGCAAUGUAGAUAUGUAGACUUAAAGUACAAUCAUGCAUAAUAAAAUUUAUUCUAAGUGAAUGGGUGUCUGAGAAAUACAUAAUAUCAAAAAUAAAUUAUAUACCUGAUUUUCUAUUUAUUUUGUACCCUGGUCAUCAAAUUUAAAAUAACUUUCCCUGAAAUCUGAUUUGAUUGAAUAAGAUUUUGAUUUAUUGCAGUUGUGAAUAUUUUACAGGAAAAUAUGAAUAUCUAUUUACAAUUUAAAAUGACAAAGGCACUAUAAAUAUCAAAUGACCAAGACCAUGAUAAACUACGGAUUUGUGCUGAAAUGAUGUAAGAUGUCUUGUAGAUUUCAAUGGCUUUACUGAACAGUAUUAUUUGUUUAAUUUAGACUUUCUUAAACUAUCCAUGAUGAUUUAAGAUAAUAUAUGUGCCGAGCUAGUGACGCUUCCAAAUUUCAUACAUUUUUCUUACAUAAUAUUAAGACUAGAUGAAACAACAAACAUAUAAAGAUCUAACAUGUGAAUAUAAU